Siniperca chuatsi (mandarin fish) is the source of this 932-nucleotide long non-coding RNA. RefSeq lists it as uncharacterized. The transcript has 2 exons. Lineage: Eukaryota; Metazoa; Chordata; Actinopteri; Centrarchiformes; Sinipercidae. The record is from RefSeq and is a predicted model, not a curated record.
GCAGAGGAGAGCAGCAGUUCAAAUGUUAAUUUCCAGUGUUAACAUUAUAUAUUUUUUAAUAGAUAUCUGGUUUUCCUCCAGCCAAGGGCAUUGAUUGACUUCUGCUAGGUUUUGAGUGAUGCUCCAAAAUCUUCAUGGUAGUGGUCGCAGAGCGUGAAGCUCUCAUCCAGGGAUCCAUCGAGGAGACCACAGUGGGAGAACAGGUUAUCACACACUAGUCUAGUGUCUAGUACCAGCAUAUAAACCAGUGGACAUCGGGACUGUCCUCAAGGGCAAGAUGGUGUUGCAAGAUUGCAGAGAACUGCAUUUGAAGCUGCCAUUUUGUGUGAGCCUAAAUUGCCCUCCUGAAUGUAAGUCCACCUUUAAAGCACUCCAGGUUGACGUGAAGCUCAACUCACUCUCCAGGAUCAGUAUCAAAGACUAUCAGUGUGCUGUUACCAAUGUGUAAUGGCGAGAUGGACAGGAUGUAGUUUUCCGUGUUCACCAUCUUGGAUAAUGGACAUUAUUGCUCCAUCCAUUGCAUUGAUUGUGUACUUGAUGUGUUGUCCAUUCUAAAAGCUUUGGACAUGUACUGUAGUUCAUCUCACAUGGACUUGGACUGUUUGUUGUAUGAUACCCCCAGCCUGCUUUUUAAGUUUUAAGUCUUUAUAGUUGUUGUUCCUUUUAGACAUGUAGUAUUCCCCUUAGCUUCUACUUUUGUUGGAUGUUAAUUUUUCUCUCCUGAUAUUGUCCUGCUUAUCUUUGAUACAACUGCAGUGUUUCUAUUAAAGAGAGACAUUUAACAGUCCAGUGACAUGAUUAAAUGAUGUGAAGUAAGUCUGAACUUGUAUUUGCACUACAUUACUGUCAUUAACUAUUGAUCUUGAUUGGCAAAUAUUAGUAUUUGUCAUAAGGCAGAUGUUACGUACACAUUAAAAUCAAGUAAAUUCAAA